Molecule: transfer RNA, 63 nt
Filed under: Hoplasoma unicolor
Lineage: Eukaryota; Metazoa; Arthropoda; Insecta; Coleoptera; Chrysomelidae
Description: tRNA-Phe
Source: RNAcentral
AUUUAAAUAGCUUAUUUAGAGCAUAAUAUUGAAGAUAUUAAGGUAAUUUCAUGUUUUUAAAUA